Long non-coding RNA from Erinaceus europaeus (western European hedgehog), 1392 nucleotides. RefSeq lists it as uncharacterized. The transcript is spliced from 3 exons. NCBI's taxonomy places the organism in Eukaryota, Metazoa, Chordata, Mammalia, Eulipotyphla, Erinaceidae. The record is from RefSeq and is a predicted model, not a curated record.
GUGUCUAUCUUUCUCUCCCCCUCUCUGUCUUCCCCUCCUCUCUCUAUUUCUCUCUGUCCUAUCAAUGACAUCAACAACAACAAUAAUAACUACAACAACAAUAAAAAAUAACAAGGGCAACAAAAAGGAAAAUAAAUAAGUAAAUAAAUAAAUAAAAGAAAUGAAGUUUAUUCAAAAACAAGGAAUGAAGGCAAGGGUAGAUAGCAUAACGUUUAUGCAAAGAGUCUCUUAUGCCUGAGGCUCCAAAGUCCCAGGUUCAGUCCCCCACACCACCAUAAACUAGAGCUGAGCAGUGCUCUGGUUAAAAAAAAACAACAACAACAAAGAAUGAGUUGAAAUAGUAUUUUAGAAGAUGAAUGAUCAAUACUCUUUUUAGUCACUGGCCCCGUGGAAUAAACCUAAAAUAGACCUAGCUUUUUCCAAAAUGGAGACCUCAAAUCUCAUCUGCUUUAUUCUUGCCUUUAGGUUCCUGACAAUUGAGCAAUUUGUUCUGCUUUAUAUCUUAAGGCUUUUUCAGCCACCAAGUUGCAGAUGCUACCUUGACGUCAAAACCUACUGAUUUCCAGCAGCUAUGUGCUUCCAAUAGGCUUCUGAAAUAUAUCUGAUAUAUUUUUAUUUCAAGGUAGGACAUACUCUAGCUAAUAUAGCACCCACACCCCACCUGAGACACUGCUUUCUGGAUGUCAUGGAGGAUCUCUGAUUUACAUCUCUGGAAAUGCAUUAGCAAGAUCCAUUUCUGGCAAAGAUAUUUGUUCUUCAUUUUCAUCUCUGCAUUCUAACUGCAUAAUCUGUUUGCUUGUUCGUGGAUAUGGGUGACUUGGCUAGUUCCUCUUACUGGCGGGUACUCCUGAGAAAAUUCCAAGAGAAUGUGUGUGCAAAAGACUUUGUAAAAAUUGAAGUCCUCCAAAAGGCCAAGAAACACAUGAAAAAUGCCCAAGUCCUUGAUUGUCAGAGCAAUGCAAAUAAAGACAACAAUGAGAUACCACUUCACUCCUGUGAGAAUGUCAUACAUCAGAAAAGGUAGCAGUAGUAAAUGCUGGAGAGGUUGUGGGGUCAAAGGAACCCUCCUGCACUGCUGGUGGGAAUGUCAAUUGGUCCAGCCUCUGUGGGGAGCAUUCUGGAGAACUCUCAGAAGGCUAGAAAUGGACCUACUCUAUGAUCCUGCAAUUCCUCUCCUGGGGAUAUAUCUUAAGGAACCCAAGACACCCAUCCAAAAAGAUGUGUGUACACAUAUGUUCUUAGCAGCACAAUUUGUAAUAGCCAAAACCUGGAAGCAAACCAGGUGUCCAUCAACAGAUGAGUAGCUGAGCAAGUUGUGGUAUAUAUACACAAUGAAAUACUACUCGGCUAUCAAAAAUCGUGACUUCACCGUUUUCAGCUGAUCUUGGAUGG